UCUGACCUCAAAUCAGGUAGGACUACCCGCUGAACUUAAGCAUAUCAAUAAGCGGAGGAAAAGAAACUAACAAGGAUUCCCCUAGUAACUGCGAGUGAAGCGGGAAAAGCUCAAAUUUAAAAUCUGGUAGUCUUUGGCUGCCCGAAUUGUAGUCUAGAGAAGCGUCUUCCGCGCYRGMCCGUGUACAAGUCUCUUGGAACAGAGCGUCAUAGAGGGUGAGAAUCCCGUCCAUGACAUGGACUACUGGUGCUUUGUGAUGCGCUCUCAACGAGUCGAGUUGUUUGGGAAUGCAGCUCAAAAUGGGUGGUAAAUUCCAUCUAAAGCUAAAUAUUGGCGAGAGACCGAUAGCGAACAAGUACCGUGAGGGAAAGAUGAAAAGCACUUUGGAAAGAGAGUUAAACAGUACGUGAAAUUGCUGAAAGGGAACCGCUUGAAGUCAGUCGCAUCGUCUAGAACUCAACCUGGCUUUUGCUUGGUGCACUUUCUAGUUGAUGGGCCAACAUCAGUUUUGACCGCUGGAAAAAAGCCUUUGGAAUGUGGCACCCUCGGGUGUGUUAUAGCCUUUGGUUGUAUACAGUGGUUGGGACUGAGGACCGCAGCACGCCUUUUGGCCGGGGUUCGCCCACGUACGUGCUUAGGAUGUUGGCGUAAUGGCUUUAAGCGACCCGUCUUGAAACACGGACCAAGGAGUCUAACAUACCUGCGAGUGUUUGGGUGGCAAACCCGAGCGCGUAAUGAAAGUGAAAGUUGGGAUCCCUGUCGUGGGGAGCACCGACGCCCAUACCAGACCUUCUGUGACGGCUAUGCGGUUGAGCAUGUAUGUUGGGACCCGAAAGAUGGUGAACUAUGCCUGAAUAGGGUGAAGCCAGAGGAAACUCUGGUGGAAGCUCGUAGCGAUUCUGACGUGCAAAUCGAUCGUCAAAUUUGGGUAUAGGGGCGAAAGACUAAUCGAACCAUCUAGUAGCUGGUUCCUGCCGAAGUUUCCCUCAGGAUAGCAGAAACUCGUAUCAGAUUUAUGUGGUAAAGCGAAUGAUUAGAGGCCUUGGGGKUGAAACAACCUUAACCUAAUCUCAAACUUUAAAUAUGUAAGAACGGGGCGKCACUUAAUUGGACCGCCUGGCGAUUGAGAGUUUCUAGUGGGCCAUUUUUGGUAAGSAGAACUGGCGAUGCGGGAUGAACCGAACGCGAGGUUAAAGUGCCGGAAUACACACUCAUCUCACACCACAAAAGGUGUUAG
Molecule: ribosomal RNA, 1237 nt
Filed under: Crustodontia chrysocreas
Lineage: Eukaryota; Fungi; Basidiomycota; Agaricomycetes; Polyporales; Meruliaceae
Description: partial 28S ribosomal RNA
Rfam family: Eukaryotic large subunit ribosomal RNA
Source: RNAcentral